ACUCAGGCUCUGAAGGUCCCAGGUCCUGAGCCAGGACUCUUCAGGUGAGGACGGCAGCAGUUCUGGAGCCCCAACCAGCCUCUAGUGCUGGGCGCUGCCACCUACCUGCUGGGUGACUUUGACUCUCCUGGGACCCCAUUUCCUGGUCUGUAUGAUGGAGUUGACACCACAGCCUCACCGCGCUGUAGGGAGAGCAGAAGAGGGACAGCAGAGCUCAGCGUGCAGGGACGAAUGCACGCGGCGAAGCAGGCAAGGUGUCCGUGCCUUCAUGUCCCCAGGGCUGGUGAGAGAGAGAGGGUCAUCUUUCUGGAGGGGACACAUCAGCUGAGCACAGGGACGUGUGAAUCUCAUUUUACAGGUGAGGACACAGAGAGGCAACAGAGUUCAGGAACACGCCAGGGAUGUGGUGGGGCACGGCCAGCUGCAGGGUCGGCGAGUGGAUCCCACGUGGCGGUCGAGGGAUGUCACCAUUUCACAGAAGGGCCCUGGAGUAGGGCUUGGCAACCUCACCGCUAGAGCACGACUGCUUUGUUUGCUUUGUGAUACUGUUUUUGUUUAGUCACUCAGUCACGUCUGAUUCUUUUUCGAUCCUAUGGACUGUAGCCCACCAGGUUCCUCUGUCCAUGGGAUUUCUCAGGCAAGAACAUUGGAGUAGGUCGCCACUUCCUUCUCUAGGGGGAUCUUCCCAACCCAGGGAUUGAACCUGAGUCUCCUACAUUAGCAGGUGGACUUUUUACCACUGAGCCACCUGGGAAGCUAUAACAAGAGUUGACACUCGUUACUGGAGGUAGUUUUUUAAGUCACUGAAUUAGCAAAUCCUGGGCUGUUGCUCCUCAGGAACUCACAAGGCGACAAGGCUCCUGCGAACCCCUUGUCACAUUUUCAUCACCACCAUACAUAAUUUUGUC
Molecule: long non-coding RNA, 908 nt
Organism: Bos taurus (domestic cattle)
Lineage: Eukaryota; Metazoa; Chordata; Mammalia; Artiodactyla; Bovidae
Source: Ensembl